This 166-nucleotide ribosomal RNA is filed under the name Lithocarpus pachyphyllus. Its description in RNAcentral is "5.8S ribosomal RNA". It matches the Rfam family "5.8S ribosomal RNA". Rfam says of the family: 5.8S ribosomal RNA (5.8S rRNA) is a component of the large subunit of the eukaryotic ribosome. It is transcribed by RNA polymerase I as part of the 45S precursor that also contains 18S and 28S rRNA. Functionally, it is thought that 5.8S rRNA may be involved in ribosome translocation. The record is from RNAcentral. Lineage: Eukaryota; Viridiplantae; Streptophyta; Magnoliopsida; Fagales; Fagaceae.
CUCUCGGCAACGGAUAUCUAGGCUCUCGCAUCGAUGAAGAACGUAGCGAAAUGCGAUACUUGGUGUGAAUUGCAGAAUCCCGUGAAUCAUCGAGUUUUUGAACGCAAGUUGCGCCCGAAGCCACUCGGCCGAGGGCACGUCUGCCUGGGUGUCACGCAUCGUUGCC